GGCCGGUUGGCCCAAUGGCAAGGCGUCUGACUACGAUUGUCCGCUUAGGCGACUUAGCAUGUUAUCAGGAGAUUCUGGGUUCGACCCCCAGGCUGGUCA
RNAcentral lists this transfer RNA (99 nucleotides) under Colletotrichum salicis. It matches the Rfam family "tRNA". From Rfam's summary of the family: Transfer RNA (tRNA) molecules are approximately 80 nucleotides in length. Their secondary structure includes four short double-helical elements and three loops (D, anti-codon, and T loops). Lineage: Eukaryota; Fungi; Ascomycota; Sordariomycetes; Glomerellales; Glomerellaceae. The record is from Rfam by way of RNAcentral.